UUCGAUAUUAUUAUGGCAGCCAUUGUUCCAUUAAUCCAUUUCAUCCAUAAAGAAAGUUUUUUUUUUUUUUUUUAAUUUAGCUUUCAUUUGUGAUUCAAGGUUGAAUAAACGCAAGGCCAAACGAGCCCACGAAGCUGCUAUGGAUUCGGAUGGGGACGAUGGUGUGACUGAAAACCAAACCGGGUCAAACCCAACUUUUGAACCUAAGGUUGGGCAACAUGUUAUUUUCACAAAUGCUAAAGGUGAAGAGAUUGGAAGAGGAAAGAUACAUAAAACCAAAGGUGUAUGGUUUGAAAAGGAUUUGGAGGAAUUAAAGCUAUGUGUGCUGGAUGUUACGGAUCUUGAGGUGUGGGACUGCAGCCAGCUCCCGCACCCAACUGAUAUCAUGACCACAUUUCUUCAGGCGAAAGUGAUUCUUGGUAAAACAAGGAUCAUGUGGGAUUCCAGCCGACUUAUUUUGAUCAGCCAGUAGAUGCCUAGAUGACAGAUUAACCUUUCUUUCUGACAGAUCUAAGGAGAUGACAGUUAAAGUCGGGAAACUAGUGUCACAGCUGCUGGGAUUAAUCCAUUGCAUCGAUAGUUGAUGCAUAAAAAGAUAUAUGCAACAUUUCAGUUUAAAAACGCAGGGUGUUGUAGUGUACUUUUAGUUUCUUUUCUUUCAGAUAAACUCAGUUUAAAUAUAUAACAUACUCUGGUUGUUUGAUGAAAAGUAUUGCUUCAUGGUGGUUUACCAUGUA
Helianthus annuus (common sunflower) is the source of this 737-nucleotide long non-coding RNA. RefSeq lists it as uncharacterized. The transcript has 3 exons. The record is from RefSeq and is a predicted model, not a curated record. Lineage: Eukaryota; Viridiplantae; Streptophyta; Magnoliopsida; Asterales; Asteraceae.